AUGGCUGUGCCCAUGGACAGCGUGGGGCUCCGGGCUGGGACCGUUCCUGCACCUCAGCCCUGCCGGGGGCCGCGACACCGCGCUCCGGCUGCCCCCGCGGAGGAGGCAGCGGUGCCGGCAGCGAGGGCUGACCCAGGAAGAAGGGGCAAUUCCUCCCCUUCCCUCGCCGCUGGUGGCAUGCUCCUCGGGCUCCGUCUUCCCCAGCCUCCCAAGCUGCCGCCUCCGGACCAAAACGGGCYGCUGCGGUCGGAAACGCUCCUUGCCGAGCCGUGGCCUUCGCGGGGUGUUUCACCCCCCGGCCCCGGCGUAGCUGGCACGGCACAGCGGCGCUGGCCUGCUUCGCCUGCCCGUUUCGUUCCAGGUAAUUCGAGUCCAGCUUUCCCGCUCGGCUCCCCGGCGCUGCGUUUUUGACAUCCCUCUGGGCUUCAACGCGGUUCUGCCUCAAAGGCCCCUCUCUGCCAGCGAAUGCUUUUCUCAGUUGAAACACACCUCCUCCUUUUGCAUUUUUGCAUUCAUCUUUUCCUUUAAAACAAGAUUAUUUCUCCGUUUCUCCCUGUAAUUGCAUUCUGCCAAGCUGGAAAAGAUCCAGCCUCGACCCAGUCUAAAUCCAGAUUUUUUUUUUCCAUCCAGUUUUAGAUUUUCUGCAGGAUUUAGCUGCAGGCGUCUAGACGUAGUCACGGAGAUGGGAACAGACCGGCUGCAAGAUUCCCCGUGCUUCCAAAUCCAGACGCGUAAGAAAAUUGCCUGGAAAACGGGCGUGAGUCAGCGGGCACGAAUAGCCCCGGCGCGGAUAACUCGGUCCGCCAGCCCCGAAGGCGGAAAGCCCUCRGCUGCGUGCCACACUGGUGCUUUUCGCGGCCCCCCCAGGCUGACAGCUUGGGUUUCAGGCCAGACAUUCCUAGCUGGUAAUUCAGGGAUCGCAAAUGGCAAAGGUUGAAGGCGCUUCGGCUUUCCAGAGGAGUCUUGGCCGGGAUCCCCUGCCCGUUGUGCGGGCUGCCGGGGGGGAUUUGCUCUUCGGAGCCGCGGAGGCGUCCGCGUCCGCGUCCCUGCGCGCAGCCGGGGAACGAUCUCCCCUUUCCCCCCGGUCAGGUUUCUCUUUCUGCUGUUUCUUUACACCGUGACAAUGUUUUUUCCUCCUGCAAAUCCGGAGGAUUUAGUCAGCAGAGCUGGGUGCCAGGUCUGGGUCGCUCGUCCUCRGCAUCCCCUCGUGUUGCUCCUGCAAUUACCCCUCCGGCGCCAGAGCCGAGCCCGGCUCCGUCCCAGCCCUCGCUGGGCUUUGGAGAUCGGUGGCUCCCUCUGAAUGUCUGUUAUUCACGUAGCCUUAAUUCCUUAAUUUUUAAGCUUACGGAAGGGAGCCUGCAAGCCCCAGAGCAUCUCAUGCGCUCCCAGCAAAGACUUAAAAAAAAGGUCC
RNAcentral lists this long non-coding RNA (1411 nucleotides) under Dromaius novaehollandiae (emu). Its description in RNAcentral is "lncRNA (ENSDNVG00000011297.1)". The record is from RNAcentral. Lineage: Eukaryota; Metazoa; Chordata; Aves; Casuariiformes; Dromaiidae.